This is a non-coding RNA of Bacillus sp. FJAT-27916, 187 nucleotides long. It matches the Rfam family "6S / SsrS RNA". From Rfam's summary of the family: E. coli 6S RNA was the first non coding RNA to be sequenced, but its function was unknown until recently. It consists of 184 nucleotides that fold into an extended hairpin structure with a large single-stranded internal bulge. The record is from Rfam. Lineage: Bacteria; Bacillati; Bacillota; Bacilli; Caryophanales; Bacillaceae.
GACGUCCUGAAGUGUACGUUAUGCAACCUUAUUGUUUUGACCGAACAUUUCUUUUAACGGGAGUCCGGCGUUUACCGUUUGCACAAAUGCCUUGUCUGAGGGGACUUGUAACAUAACGGAACAGGACACCCACCUGCCGAGGGCGGGCCAAAGCAUCAGGCAUCAAACGGCACAUGUCGGGACGUCU